RNAcentral lists this ribosomal RNA (465 nucleotides) under uncultured bacterium. RNAcentral's name for it is "partial 16S ribosomal RNA". It matches the Rfam family "Bacterial small subunit ribosomal RNA", at positions 28 to 507 of the family's 1533-position model. The record is from RNAcentral.
GACGAACGCUGGCGGCGUGCUUAACACAUGCAAGUCGUACGGUAAGGCCCUUUCGGGGGUACACGAGUGGCGAACGGGUGAGUAACACGUGAGUAACCUGCCCACAACUUUGGGAUAACGCUAGGAAACUGGUGCUAAUACUGGAUAUGUGCUCCUGCUGCAUGGUGGGGGUUGGAAAGCUCCGGCGGUUGUGGAUGGACUCGCGGCCUAUCGGCUUGUUGGUGGGGUAGUGGCCUACCAAGGCGGCGACGGGUAGCCGGACUGAGGAGGUGACCGGCCACAUUGAGACUGAGAUACGGCCCAGACACCGACGGGAGGGAGCAGGGGGGAAGAUUGCACAAGGGGCGCAAGCCUGAUGCAGCAGCGCCGCGUGCGGUAUGACGGCCUUCGGGUUGAAAACCGCUUGCAGCAGGGACGAAGCUUUUUGUGACGGUACCUGCAGAAGAAGCACCGGCUAACUACGUG